RNAcentral lists this ribosomal RNA (253 nucleotides) under uncultured bacterium. RNAcentral's name for it is "partial 16S ribosomal RNA". It matches the Rfam family "Bacterial small subunit ribosomal RNA", at positions 524 to 776 of the family's 1533-position model. The record is from RNAcentral.
UACGGAGGGUGCAAGCGUUGUUCUGAUUUAUUGGGCGUAAAGCGCGUGUAGGCGGUUUCUUAAGUCUGAUGUGAAAGCCCUGGGCUCAACCCAGGAAGUGCAUUGGAUACUGGGAGACUUGAAUACGGGAGAGGGUAGUGGAAUUCCUAGUGUAGGAGUGAAAUCCGUAGAUAUUAGGAGGAACACCGGUGGCGAAGGCGGCUACCUGGACCGAUAUUGACGCUGAGACGCGAAAGCGUGGGGAGCAAACAGG